ACAUUUUGAAUUCUAAAAAAAACUCUGGCCCUAUCACUUGAUAUCUGAUACGACCCCCAUGUAGGGUCAACGAUAUUAAUCCAAUUUUUGGAUCAUGGCGCAGUGCUAGGAGCUUGCUCCAUCUUUGCCGCGGAUCGGCCCGGUAUUGCACUACCUCCGGGAUCGGUCCACGAAAU
Hyalella azteca is the source of this 176-nucleotide small nuclear RNA. RefSeq annotates it as U2 spliceosomal RNA. The transcript has a single exon. Lineage: Eukaryota; Metazoa; Arthropoda; Malacostraca; Amphipoda; Hyalellidae. The record is from RefSeq and is a predicted model, not a curated record.